Heterocephalus glaber (naked mole-rat) is the source of this 1104-nucleotide long non-coding RNA. RefSeq lists it as uncharacterized. Lineage: Eukaryota; Metazoa; Chordata; Mammalia; Rodentia; Bathyergidae. The record is from RefSeq and is a predicted model, not a curated record.
GGCGGUACUGCUGCCAGUCCCGGGUGCUGCGCUUGCUCAGUGGGGUUUGGCCUCUGUGCUCUGGACGUGCGGCAGAUGGACUCUUGGAUCUUCCCGACAUCGCGUCACCUUUGUCGAGUGCCGAGGGCUCUGGGUGGAGGAGUGGCAGGGCCCUCAGGAGAGUGAGUGGCCACAGCCAGGCCUCACCCUUCUCUUUCUUUUUAUUCUCACACAGCUGGGAUUUGUUCAGUCAGCCAGGUGGAGUGAAGCUGUGGGACAGAACCGGGUAGGAGGACAGGCCUGAGCCCUGUGCCUGCUGCGGCAGAGCUGUUGCUGGACAUUCACCAGAAAAACAAAGGACAUUUACCAACACCCGGUCUGUGUGACCAUGAAGCCCAUGUUCCUCCACUCUGCUGUGUCUCCUCCUGUGGUUCACCGCUGGUCCCGUGAGAGCUGGGUGUCUACAGGGCAUGGCCGGGUCGCAUGUAUGCGGGUGUGUUCCAGUCUCGUCAGAGAGGAAAGCAUGUGAACGCCAUGUGGAGAGGACCAGGCCUGGGAUACAGCGUCAGCUUCCCCCCCCACCCCGCACCGCGUUGCUGUUGAGUUACAUCGUGCGCUGGUGGAGCCAGACUCUUGCUCUGUGUGCCUGGAAGCAGUGGUGCCGCAUCGAGGUGGACCCUUCAGAGUGGAUGGAGGCACCUGAAAGCGGCUUUUGCUCUGGACGCCAAGCCAUGCAGAGCAACUUCCUCUCUGUUGGUUUCGGCGUGGAAAUGUGCAUCUGCUUAUAAUUUAAUAAAAAUGCCCUUGAGGACAAAUGAUGCACCACUGAUUUUUCAGCCUCUUGGAAGAAGUCCCCAGUGUUGAGGGACAUUGAAAUCAGACAGAGAAGCUUACAUAAUGACUGAUUUGGUUGCAAGAUUACUCCUGAGAAGCAGGCUGUGGCUUGCUCUGGCCCCUGGCAGAUGGAGAUUCAUCUGGAUUAUCACUGGGCACAGUAGAUAGGGAGAUGCGGCUGACCUUUCAGAGAGGCCCUGGGCUCCCUGAAAAUGACGAUGUUACUCCAAGACUGCAUGGAAAGUAAGAGCCCCGAGUCUGAUCAGAACUCUGCAACUCAUACUGUGAAUC